AGGAGUGCGGUCAAAUGCGAGCCCCGCCUAACGGCGCCGUGCGGGCUCGAGCCGCGCUGUCCCUUCCCCGCUUGGGUUUCAGCCGGCGGAAUGCUCUCCCGCCGACAUCGCGCCCGUGAGCACGCAGGAGCCUGGGGCUGGGCGAAGAACCAGCUCAUUAGGGCUGGUGUAACCACUAGGCGGCUGCUAAGGAUGCCAAGAUUUGGGGGCACCAAAAAGCGGUAUCUGGCAUCAUGGGAGUCAACUGAGUGGGGCAGGGCGGGGAGCGAGGGGCACCACGCAGGAUGGUCAGUGGGAGCCUGUGGCGAAGCAAGGAGGAGACAGCUGAUUGGGCAUGACGACCAGCACGGCCAAGGGACAGAGCUGUUGGGGGAGGCAGGACGCAGUCCUGAGCUCAGUGUGGAAAUUGAUUCAACAUAAAGAAUGCCCCCGUCUCCAUACCGUAAAGUAGUACAUUUGAGAGCCAUGGAUUUCAGAGGCUCUCAUAUACAACAGGUACAGAAUGGACAAAUUUAUACCAAGGAUUGCAAACACAAGACAUGCCAAAGAAGACUUCCUCACCAUAUCCAGCUUUUUCUAUCCUUUCCUGAGUGCUGUCAAUAGGGGGCAGCUGAUAAUGAAUCACGCACAGGGGAAUUCCAACUCUCAUAAUAUAAUUAACUCAAAAUAUGCUGGACAUUGGAGAGUUGCCAGAGGCAGUUCCUUGUUCCUCAAAAGGAAGUCCUAUACAGAAUUGUUCAUUACACACAAGCUAAUUUUAGAAUGUAUAAUUAAUUUAAAAGGGACACUGUAAAAUUUGGGUGGCCCAAAAUUUGACCUGCCUUUUUAUUUUUAAGUUAGAGGGGCUUCACCAACCAAUUCUUCACAGGGAAAAUCCUGACUCAAAGGUCUACACUGCAGUGUAAGCCCAGGGUUAGUAGAAUUCGAAUUAGCAGAUCCUGGGUUUAAUGUAGGGUUUGAGCAUCUACACUCAUUUGUAACUCAUUGUUGAACCCUGGGCCCCAACAUGGGGUCUGUCUACAUUGUAUUAUGCAGGCCCGAAUGCAACCACCCAUAUCUGAGACUUCCUAGUGCCCUCACAAAAUGUGGCUGAUCUAGCCGUUUGUUCAUAGUGAAGUGUGGGAAAACAUGACCGUGCAGCAAACUUGACUGUCCAGAGGACAAAGGAAGUACGUCAGUGGGAUGCUUUUGGUGGACUUCCUGAGAUUGCGUAUACACUGCAAAGCAAUAGGCUCGAACCGUGAGUCCCAGCUUGACUCAGGGUCAGACCCUCCAUCCCCGUGGAGUCCUGGGUCCAUGCUCUGGAUUAGUGUGGUUUGUGUGUAGAUGGAAGGAAGGUAGGCUUGAGCCUGAAUUCAAACCCUGGUCUUACAUUGCAGGAUAGACAUACCCUAAGUCUCCACAACAUAGAGCCCACCAAAACUGUGUGACCUGCCUGCUAUGCAGGCAGAUGUUAACAAUUAUAUAGAUUCUGAAAAGAAAGAUCCCACCCUUCCCUGGGGUGGGUCUGUUAGCUAAGGAGCAGAACUAAGAGUGCACUGAAGAAUUCCCAAAAACCCCUCACACAUGAAAAUUUUGGGGAUAUGGUCCCUCUGUUCUUCCCACUUUUCACCACUGGAGCAGCCCUAUUCUAAAUAAACACAGUUAACAGUCUUAGGAUGGACAGAGAAGGCUGAGAGAACUACAAAGCUCAGCUGUUUUAUGUGGCCAACAGGGUUUACAUGAUGUAUAUACCAGGAGUCAGGAUUUGGCCCUGUAUGAUUUUGUUUUAAAGCAAAUGUGCUUUCU
This is a long non-coding RNA of Mauremys reevesii (Reeves's turtle), 1788 nucleotides long. RefSeq lists it as uncharacterized. The record is from RefSeq and is a predicted model, not a curated record. The transcript has 5 exons. NCBI's taxonomy places the organism in Eukaryota, Metazoa, Chordata, Testudines, Geoemydidae.